AUUGAACGCUGGCGGUAUGCUUUACACAUGCAAGUCGAACGGCAGCACGGACUUCGGUCUGGUGGCGAGUGGCGAACGGGUGAGUAAUGUAUCGGAACGUGCCCAGUCGAGGGGGAUAACGUAGUGAAAAUUACGCUAAUACCGCAUACGAUCUAUGGAUGAAAGCGGGGGAUCGCAAGACCUCGCGCGAUUGGAGCGGCCGAUAUCAGAUUAGGUAGUUGGUGGGGUAAAGGCCCACCAAGCCAACGAUCUGUAGCUGGUCUGAGAGGACGACCAGCCACACUGGAAAUGGGACACGGUCCAGACUCCUACGGGAGGCAGCAGUGGGGAAUUUUGGACAAUGGGCGAAAGCCUGAUCCAGCCAUUCCGCGUGCAGGAUGAAGGCCCUCGGGUUGUAAACUGCUUUUGUACAGAACGAAAAGGUUUCUACUAAUACUAGGAGCUCAUGACGGUACUGUAAGAAUAAGCACCGGCUAACUACGUGCCAGCCGCCGCCGUAA
Molecule: ribosomal RNA, 500 nt
Filed under: uncultured bacterium
Lineage: Bacteria
Description: partial 16S ribosomal RNA
Rfam family: Bacterial small subunit ribosomal RNA
Source: RNAcentral